GCAAGUCGAACGAGACUACUGAAUAGCUUGCUAAUUAGUAGUUUAGUGGCGGACGGGUGCGUAACACGUGAGCAACUUGCCCCAAAGCGGGGGAUAGCCCAGCGAAAGUUGGAUUAAUACCGCAUGUGAACUUCGGUUUAAAGGUGCCUUCGGGUGCCGCUUUGGGAUGGGCUCGCGGCCUAUCAGCUAGUUGGUGAGGUAACGGCUCACCAAGGCGACGACGGGUAGCUGGUCUGAGAGGAUGAUC
RNAcentral lists this ribosomal RNA (247 nucleotides) under uncultured bacterium. RNAcentral's name for it is "partial 16S ribosomal RNA". It matches the Rfam family "Bacterial small subunit ribosomal RNA", at positions 57 to 305 of the family's 1533-position model. The record is from RNAcentral.